GACGAACCGUGCGAACGUUGUUCGGAAUCACUGGGCUUAAAGGGCGCGUAGGCGGCUCGCGAGGUCGGGGGUGAAAUCCCACGGCUCAACCGUGGAAGUGCAUCCGAAACUGCAUCGCUGGAGUCUCGGAGAGGAAGGUGGAAUGCUUGGUGUAGAGGUGAAAUUCGUAGAUAUCAAGCAGAACACCUGCGGCGAAGGCGGCCUUCUGGACGAUGACUGACGCUGAGACGCGAAAGCGUGGGGAGCAAACAGG
Molecule: ribosomal RNA, 253 nt
Filed under: uncultured bacterium
Lineage: Bacteria
Description: partial 16S ribosomal RNA
Rfam family: Bacterial small subunit ribosomal RNA
Source: RNAcentral